ACAAAUUGCACAGAGCUGGAUACAGAAGACUGGCAAGUAUAGCUCAGAAGCUGUGCAUUGCCUGUGCAGACGAUACCUCCCAUAAAUCCACUAGCCAGCUUCAUGAAGUGCUUCUGCAUCGUGAGUCACUAAGCGCCAUGUCAUUUGUGAAAGAAUGCAGGUUCUGCCUAUCCUGGUGGUUUCUUCAGUGGUAGUCUGUGUGACUGGAGAAUUCAGACCACAUAGGAUACUUUCUUUCUAGAUUUAUUUUCUUAGGUUUUCUUAGGAUGGCACAGUAUUUGAUUUCUGUAGCUGGUAUUGGGGAACUAAGUACCAUCCUGCUUGAGGACGCUACCCACCUUGUCAAGAUUUGUCGUUUUAACCUUGCUGAUCCACAGAAGACAGGGCAGCUAAAAUCAUCCAAUGUAGUGGCUGAAGGUCUAAGGAGAAUACUGUGGAUAAAGCUCAGGGCUUGACUGAUACCAGGUGCAAGACACAUUUUAUAUGAUGCUGGAUACUGCAUCCACUGCUGAGAAAAAGACCCAGCAAGACCAAAGUUGCUGUGAAAAUUGAUGUUUUACAGAAAAUAAACUGUAACAGAUUAGACUUGGCUUGCCUAUGGUUUAAUGAGAAUGUAUACAUUUGUUUGAUAUGCUGUCAUUAACACCAAAGUUUCUUAUUAUUGAUAUUUUAUUAAAAUAUAUCUGUUUCCUUUGAGGUAGGAGGUGGAAGUCAUUUAAUAAUAUUUUUUCAACUUUAUUACCGGUGUGUACACAACGUUCAACCAUCAUUGAAAUCAAUGAUUUAUUGAGUUUUAAUUCAACUUACAGUAGCAGGUAGCAGCAAGUAGGUAGACUGCAGUUGAAUAAAAGAUCAGAAAUAUAUAUGUGUGUGUUUUAAUCCCUGG
Molecule: long non-coding RNA, 886 nt
Filed under: Lepisosteus oculatus (spotted gar)
Lineage: Eukaryota; Metazoa; Chordata; Actinopteri; Semionotiformes; Lepisosteidae
Description: lncRNA (ENSLOCG00000022304.1)
Source: RNAcentral